This 520-nucleotide ribosomal RNA is filed under the name uncultured Gammaproteobacteria bacterium. RNAcentral describes it as "bacterial SSU rRNA". It matches the Rfam family "Bacterial small subunit ribosomal RNA", at positions 360 to 873 of the family's 1533-position model. The record is from RNAcentral. Lineage: Bacteria; Pseudomonadati; Pseudomonadota; Gammaproteobacteria.
AAUAUUGGGCAAUGGGGGCAAACGCUGAUCCACCCAUAUCGCGUGGGUGAAGAAGGCCUUUGGGUUGUAAAACCCUUUUGUUGGGAAAGAAAUAUUUCCGGUUAAUACCAGGGGAGGAUGACGGUACCCAAAGAAUAAGCACCGGCUAAAUUUGUGCCAGCAGCCGCGGUAAUAUGAAGGGUGCAAGAGUUAUUAUGAAUUACUGGGCGUAAAGCGUGCGUACGUGGUGGUUUAAGUGUGAUGUGAAAACCCCGGGCUCUACCUGGGAAAUGCACUGGAUACUGGGUCACUAGAGUGUGGUAGAGGGGUGGGGAAUUUCGGUGUAUCACUGAAAUGUGUAGAGAUAUGAAGGAACAUCCGUGGGGAAAAGGCCAUCCUGGGCCCACACUGACACUGAGGCACGAAAGCGUGGGGAGCAAACACGAUUAGAUACCCCGGUAGAGCACGCCCUAAAAGAUGCGUCCUGGAUGUUGGGUGCAACUUGGCACCCAGUAUCGAAGCUAACGCGUAAGUCGCCGCC